GACCAGACUCCUACGGGAGGCAGCAGUGGGGAAUAUUGCACAAUGGGGGAAACCCUGAUGCAGCGACGCCGCGUGAGCGAUGAAGUAUUUCGGUAUGUAAAGCUCUAUCAGCAGGGAAGAAGAUGACGGUACCUGACUAAGAAGCCCCGGCUAACUACGUGCCAGCAGCCGCGGUAAUACGUAGGGGGCAAGCGUUAUCCGGAUUUACUGGGUGUAAAGGGGGCGCAGACGGCAGCGCAAGCCAGGAGUGAAAGCCCGGGGCCCAACCCCGGGACUGCUCUUGGAACUGCGCGGCUGGAGUGCAGGAGGGGCAGGCGGAAUUCCUGGUGUAGCGGUGAAAUGCGUAGAUAUCAGGAGGAACACCGGCGGCGAAGGCGGCCUGCUGGACGACAACUGACGGUGAGGCGCGAAAGCGUGGGGAGCAAACAGGAUUAGAUACCCCCGUA
This 446-nucleotide ribosomal RNA is filed under the name uncultured bacterium. Its description in RNAcentral is "bacterial SSU rRNA". It matches the Rfam family "Bacterial small subunit ribosomal RNA", at positions 329 to 792 of the family's 1533-position model. The record is from RNAcentral.